UACAGAGGUCUCAAGCGUUGUUCGGAUUCAUUGGGCGUAAAGGGUGCGUAGGCGGCGCGGUAAGUCGGGUGUGAAAUCUCGGAGCUUAACUCCGAAACUGCAUUCGAUACUGCCGUGCUUGAGGACUGGAGAGGAGACUGGAAUUUACGGUGUAGCGGUGAAAUGCGUAGAUAUCGUAAGGAAGACCAGUGGCGAAGGCGGCCGACUGGUCCGGUUCUGACGCUGAGGCGCGAAAGCGUGGGGAGCAAACAGG
Molecule: ribosomal RNA, 253 nt
Filed under: uncultured bacterium
Lineage: Bacteria
Description: partial 16S ribosomal RNA
Rfam family: Bacterial small subunit ribosomal RNA
Source: RNAcentral